This 325-nucleotide long non-coding RNA is filed under the name Gallus gallus (chicken). The record is from RNAcentral. Lineage: Eukaryota; Metazoa; Chordata; Aves; Galliformes; Phasianidae.
AAAACUGUGUGGAUCUAUGCCAGAAGUGCUGCAGUUUUAGCAAAUGCAGUGGUUUGACAAACCAAUAUUGCUAAGAUCGAGCAACAUUCAGGUUAAUGACAGCUGCUCUGUCAGCUGCUUCCUGAUGCAAGUGUUCACAGAUUGAGGAGCAAAGUGGAAGACAUCUGGAGCUUACCUUUGUAGAAUCACUCAGCAUUCAUGACUGCAUCCAGAGUGGUGAGGUGUUGGUAGCUGGAAGGUCUGCAGGGGUGGCCUAUGCAGGAGGAGACCAGAGCUGCCCUGUGCUGAACACAUGCACAUCCAGUCAGUCCUGCAAUGAAUCCAC